This 383-nucleotide ribosomal RNA is filed under the name uncultured eukaryote. RNAcentral describes it as "partial small subunit ribosomal RNA". It matches the Rfam family "Eukaryotic small subunit ribosomal RNA", at positions 587 to 972 of the family's 1831-position model. The record is from RNAcentral.
AGCUCUUCUAGCAUAUAUUAAAGUUGCUGCAGUUAAAACGCUCGUAGUUUGAAUUAUUUCGGUGUCAGGCUGGCUGGAAAAUUUAAUUUUUCAAGCUGUCUGGUGCCGAAUUAAAGUUUGGGUAGAGCAGAUUAAUUUCUCUCUAUCCAUUUAACCUUGAAAAAACAUUGUCGCUCAAAAAAGGACGGAAAAGUCUAUUGAGAUUUCAGCAUGGGAUUAUGAAAAAAGGGGGGCGGGUGCGAAAGGGGGUAAAAGCCCGAUUGGCUCGUUUCCAAUGGUUAAUGAGGACGAUGCGUGGGAGUUCAUAUUAAUAAGUCAGAGGUGAAAUUCUUGGAUUUUAUUAAGAUGAACAUCAGCGAAGGCGUUCUUCAAGUGCGUGCCUG